GAUGAACGCUGGCGGCGUGCCUAAUACAUGCAAGUCGAGCGAACGGACGAGAAGCUUGCUUCUCUGAUGUUAGCGGCGGACGGGUGAGUAACACGUGGAUAACCUACCUAUAAGACUGGGAUAACUUCGGGAAACCGGAGCUAAUACCGGAUGAUAUUUUGAACCGCAUGGUUCAAAAGUGAAAGACGGUCUUGCUGUCACUUAUAGAUGGAUCCGCGCUGCAUUAGCUAGUUGGUAAGGUAAUGGCUUACCAAGGCAACGAUGCAUAGCCGACCUGAGAGGGUGAUCGGCCACACUGGAACUGAGACACGGUCCAGACUCCUACGGGAGGCAGCAGUAGGGAAUCUUCCGCAAUGGGCGAAAGCCUGACGGAGCAACGCCGCGUGAGUGAUGAAGGUCUUCGGAUCGUAAAACUCUGUUAUUAGGGAAGAACAUAUGUGUAAGUAACUGUGCACAUCUUGUCGGUACCUAAUCAGAAUGCCACGGCUAACUACGUG
Molecule: ribosomal RNA, 497 nt
Filed under: uncultured bacterium
Lineage: Bacteria
Description: partial 16S ribosomal RNA
Rfam family: Bacterial small subunit ribosomal RNA
Source: RNAcentral